This 81-nucleotide microRNA precursor is filed under the name Dipodomys ordii (Ord's kangaroo rat). Its description in RNAcentral is "miRNA (ENSDORG00000027117.1)". Lineage: Eukaryota; Metazoa; Chordata; Mammalia; Rodentia; Heteromyidae. The record is from RNAcentral.
CUCUUAGAGGCCAUCGGAGCAUCUCUGGAACUUGGGUAUAACAGUUGGGGGCUCGUCUGGGAUCCCCUGAGGACUCCCGAA